CCAAUAGCGUAUAUUAAAGUUGUUGCAGUUAAAAAGCUCGUAGUUGAAUUUCGGAAUCAAUAUGUCGGUCGUGCCUUGGUACGUACUGGUAUCAUUGGUUUCUCCUUUCUGACGAACCAUGAUGUCAUUAAUUUGGUGUUAUGGGAAGUUAGGACUGUUACUUUGAAAAAAUUAGAGUGUUUAAAGCAGGCUUUGGCUUGAAUACAUUAGCAUGGAAUAAUGAAAUAGGACGUUCGAACCUAUUUUGUUGGUUUCUAGGAUCAACGUAAUGAUUAAUAGGGAUAGUUGGGGGCAUUAGUAUUCAAUUGUCAGAGGUGAAAUUCUUGGAUUUAUUGAAGACUAACUACUGCGAAAGCAUUUGCCAAGGAUGUUUUCAUUAAUCAAGAACGAAAGUUAGGGGAUCGAAGACGAUCAGAUACCGUCGUAGUCUUAACCAUAAACUAUGCCGACUAGGGAUCGGAUGAUGUUAAUUUUUUAAUGACUCAUUCGGCGCCUUACG
Molecule: unclassified non-coding RNA, 499 nt
Filed under: uncultured Glomus
Lineage: Eukaryota; Fungi; Glomeromycota; Glomeromycetes; Glomerales; Glomeraceae
Description: SSU rRNA
Rfam family: Eukaryotic small subunit ribosomal RNA
Source: RNAcentral